Molecule: long non-coding RNA, 1877 nt
Filed under: Gossypium raimondii (Peruvian cotton)
Lineage: Eukaryota; Viridiplantae; Streptophyta; Magnoliopsida; Malvales; Malvaceae
Description: long non-coding RNA (GRAI_LNC005316)
Source: RNAcentral
GCAAAUGUGGAUCUUUGGAAGACAUUCCACUAAAUUGGCCCACCAUUUGCAACAUUUGGAACAUAACUGACUUCAAUUCAAACUACAGUGCCUCAAUUUUGGGUUUCUGUCAUCAGCAACAAUGACUGAAUUUCGAGCGAUGUGAAUAGCUCCUCAAUUUUGAUUUUGUUGUAGAGGAUCCAUUAUCACCUGAAUAAUAAUGAAAAUUACUAAAAAUAAAAAUGAAAUGAAUUUAAACCAAAUUGCAAAAUUUCAAUUUCACAAAUAAUUACUAAAACACAAUCCUCAACAAUGGCGCUAAAAACUUGUCGCGGAGUGUGCAUAUUAAUAAUAAUCUAUGCGAAUAAUGUGCAAGUGUACACAAUCAUAACAAGUAAUAAAGUAGUGAGUAGAGUAUCAUCUCCAAAGGGACAUUGUGUGCAACCAAAAAUUGUGAAAUUUAAUUAUCAAUUUAGCAAACAUUAAAAAUAUGGUUAAGGAAUGUGCUAAUAAACUAAACUUAAUUUAACCUAGAUGAAUGCACAAUGUAACAACACAAAAUAAUAAGCAAAUAACAAGCACUAAACACAAUGGCAUGAAGGACUAGAAUAGUUAAUCCCCUUUAACCCAUAUUCAUUAAAACAAUGAUAAAGAUUGAUAUCGGUUGACCGUGGCAUAAUUGGUGAUUUACUAACCCCGAUUUUACUAGUGCUUGGAUUCUUUGAAGUCCUAAGCUUAACCUCUUAGUCUUUUCGCAUAUGUUUAUGUCGAGUCUAACUUCAAGAUUACAUUUUCAAGCAUCGUUCUUAAGAAUUAAGUGAGAUAACAGUGAUAUGUCUAUAUAAAAACAAAUUUAAUCACAUUAAUCCUAGGGUUAUGCAAGGUAAUAAAUAUUCAUUGAUACCAUUACAUUUAAUUAACACAUGAUUAAACAAGCACCAAUCAGGUAUUGUGUCAAUUAAUAACCAUCUUCUCAGAUCGAUUUACUAAUUUAAUUACUUACCAACAUCAUGUAUGCAUCAGGAAGUAUGAUUGUGAUAGUACGUGACUUAGUACAACUACCAAAUGCACGGAACAUCUCUACCAAAACUUUAUUGAAUAUAAACUAAAGUUGCAUAACCAUUCUAGCAUCAACAAGAUUAAGUCAUAGUAAUUAAAGAGAGAACACAAAAACAAUAAGCAAUCAUGUUUUCAACGGAAGAACGAAGUAACAAAAGUAUUGAAAAUAACUCUAUAUUUUAGAAUUAUCACAAUCAUCGAACAAAAUUUGAGUUUUAUUGUUUACUGUUCAUUUGAAUAAGACUAAAAAGAUUAAAAAAUAUAUAUUACUAUUUAUAUAUUUUGAUAAUAAAAUUUAAAUAUACAUUUAAAUUAUUAAAUAUAAAAUCAAUGAGGCUCAAAUUCAUGAAAUUUCUUCGUACUUGGUAGUUUGGGUGAAGUGAAUAAAAUAUUUGCGUAGAACUACUAAUAUUUUAGCUUCAGAAACCAAUGAUACAUUCACAAGAAAUCAGUAGUCAUAGACGAUGGAACUUUCAUAGUUCAUACCAACAUAGUUUAGGUUUUUUUUUUAUUUUAAUCCAAAUUCAACAAUAAAUAAUUUUCCAUUAACACAAACAAAAUUGAGUUUAAUUAGCUAUCCAUAUUCUAAAAUUCAUUUCAUUUGUCAAAGACCGACUUUGCUGACUGACAACUAUUUGACUUUCAUUUCAUGAUCAAUUUUCUAUAUAUAUUCACUAUUACCAACGGAUUGCCCAAUCUCAAAAUCUAUCUUUCCAUUUACUCCUAAAAAAAGCAAUUUAAUGGAGUUUCUUCAGAAAUCAAUUCCCGGUACCUUGAGGGGAUACUGGAGAAGGCGGCGAUACCAAAGACUCCACGGCGGCGAAGUGAUCAAGAAAAAG